GCUUUCUUUCCUGGCUUAGGCUGGGAGGCACAGCGCCCGUGUGCUGGAGGCGAGUUGGCUCCGGGUGGGGGAGGCUGGGGUUCCAAACCAGGGCAGGGGAAUGGUGGCCCUGCGUGGCUCGUGGACCUCUCUCAGGGACCCCUCUCAGCAGGGGCCGGAAAAGCAGGCCCACACCCAGUGGUCAUUGCAGGAACUUCACUUGAGCUGGUCUGCUUGUGAGCCUGUGGUUUGGAGAGGAGAAGACGCACUUCCCCAUGAGAAAAAGAUAGAGUUUCACUCUUGUCUCCCAGGCUGGAGUGCAAUGGCGUAAUCUUGGCUCACUGCAACCUCUGCCUGCUGGGUUCAAAUGAUUCUCCUGCCUCAGCCUCCCAAGUAGCUGGAAUUACAGGUGCUGACGAGGACUUUCACCUGGGAGAAGAGCUCAUUCUUCCUAUCGUUUCCCUGGGAAGAACAUGGCUGAAACAACUUACUGUACAGACCACAGAAGUGAGACCAAAAACACUGAGAUGAGGAAGAGGUGUGGCAAAAUGGCUUUGUUGUGGUGGAAGAUGAAUUGUCGUCUCAAGGGGGCAGAGGACUGCCUGUGAGCUUCCUUAACAUGGAGCCCGAAACCGGUGUUUGCACAGUCCUUGAGGAAAGGGUUUGCUCAGCAAAUUAACAGUGUGAACAAGACUGCAGGAGGGACCAUUUACCUACCUGAGAACAAACUGUUUUCUAGCUCUUCAGCAGCACCACUUACGCACAAUUUUCAUGUGCUAAUGGCAAGUGAUUAUUACCUAGUUAGUGAAUAUACGUGGAAGACAUAAAAUAGCCUUUACUAUCCCCUGGUUGAGACAACUCGCUAACUCAGACUUGCCAGGUGCUCUGAAUUAGAGAGGUGCUACAGGAAUGUCCUCUCGGAUUUUUGGCGUUGAGCAUGCAUGCAUGUGAGCAGGGUGCCAUUUCUUCAGAAGAAAAAUAAAUGACAACAUUCUGUUUUGGGGCUUGAAACUGCAUGACUGAAAACAUAAAGGUGACAACUGUGAUAUGCUUUUUUAAUGAGGGCAGAGAUGUCAAGAGAAACCAGCCUUCUAGGAACAAAAGAAUACUCUGUCAGGUGCAGUGGACUUAAGACCUUUUUCUCUCUUGGAAUAAUGUCCUUAAAAAUAACCAAAUUUUCCAUUCAAUAGAAAAAUGUUCAUCCCUUCCUCCCCAUCAAUAUGAAUUGUUGUCUUGGAGCAUGGGGCACUAGCAAGCCAUAUUGAUUUUGGAAAUUAAAAUGGGAAUGUUGAA
Homo sapiens (human) is the source of this 1272-nucleotide long non-coding RNA. Ensembl annotates it as MIR4432 host gene. NCBI's taxonomy places the organism in Eukaryota, Metazoa, Chordata, Mammalia, Primates, Hominidae. The record is from Ensembl.